GGGCACUUGGUCUAGGGGUAUGAUUUUCGCUUCGCAUCAAUUACUACGAUGAGUAUGUGAAAGGUCGUGGGUUCAAUUCCCACAGUGUCCA
RNAcentral lists this transfer RNA (91 nucleotides) under Dendryphion nanum. It matches the Rfam family "tRNA". Rfam says of the family: Transfer RNA (tRNA) molecules are approximately 80 nucleotides in length. Their secondary structure includes four short double-helical elements and three loops (D, anti-codon, and T loops). Further hydrogen bonds mediate the characteristic L-shaped molecular structure. tRNAs have two regions of fundamental functional importance: the anti-codon, which is responsible for specific mRNA codon recognition, and the 3' end, to which the tRNAs corresponding amino acid is attached (by aminoacyl-tRNA synthetases). tRNAs cope with the degeneracy of the genetic code in two manners: having more than one tRNA (with a specific anti-codon) for a particular amino acid; and 'wobble' base-pairing, i.e. permitting non-standard base-pairing at the 3rd anti-codon position. Lineage: Eukaryota; Fungi; Ascomycota; Dothideomycetes; Pleosporales; Torulaceae. The record is from Rfam by way of RNAcentral.